This is a transfer RNA of Clostridium collagenovorans DSM 3089, 73 nucleotides long. It matches the Rfam family "tRNA". From Rfam's summary of the family: Transfer RNA (tRNA) molecules are approximately 80 nucleotides in length. Their secondary structure includes four short double-helical elements and three loops (D, anti-codon, and T loops). Further hydrogen bonds mediate the characteristic L-shaped molecular structure. tRNAs have two regions of fundamental functional importance: the anti-codon, which is responsible for specific mRNA codon recognition, and the 3' end, to which the tRNAs corresponding amino acid is attached (by aminoacyl-tRNA synthetases). tRNAs cope with the degeneracy of the genetic code in two manners: having more than one tRNA (with a specific anti-codon) for a particular amino acid; and 'wobble' base-pairing, i.e. permitting non-standard base-pairing at the 3rd anti-codon position. Lineage: Bacteria; Bacillati; Bacillota; Clostridia; Eubacteriales; Clostridiaceae. The record is from Rfam.
CGCGGGGUGGAGCAGUUGGCAGCUCGUCGGGCUCAUAACCCGAAGGUCGUAGGUUCAAGUCCUGCCUCCGCAA